Molecule: non-coding RNA, 884 nt
Organism: Lonchura striata (white-rumped munia)
Lineage: Eukaryota; Metazoa; Chordata; Aves; Passeriformes; Estrildidae
Source: RefSeq, a predicted model, not a curated record
UUUGCUUUCCUGUGUAGACUUGGAAAGAUUUUGGAGAUUGAAGAAGUCGUAGAGGCUUUGAUGGAAGGAAUAGUGACCAACCAGAAAAUGGUUUUUGUUCCACCACAGCUAAACAUUGCUUUGCUUUCUGAAAUGGUUUUUCCAGAACGUGCCCUGAACCUUCUGAAGAAGAUGACCAUUCCAAAGUUUGAUGCAGUCAUUGGGCAGAGAAGCACCCAGUGAAAAGCAAGAAUUUAUUCUCAUUUCCCAGAGGCACCAGUGAAAACAGAACAUGUGCUGAGCAUAGUUCAGCUGGCUUGAUUCAGAAAAGAGCUCAGGCAGGUGCUUCCAGACCACCAUUCCCAGGCACACCUAAGGGCUUAUUCCACACCUGCAGCUGGAGCACACCUGCAUAACAGGGAGUGUUAGCAAAGCAGUGAUGCAGCUCUAGAAGGGCUGCUUUUAAUGUACAUCCCAUCACCUUUGUCUCAUUGUGCUGAGGCAGGCAGCAUGCCCACAAAGCCCGUGUUUGCCCACAGCUCCCUAGUUGACUGCAAAGGGAUUACCUGACAACACGUUCAUCUGGACUCAUCCCUGAGCAAAAGCAUCUUGCAAGAAGCAAUUUAUAGAGGUGGGUGGCCUAUUUCAUCUCACUUAAUAAUUUUAAGUUAAAAAAAAUUUGCUCUAAUGAACACUUACAGUUUUGUGUGCAUUUGUAAUGAGCAUUAUUGAACUAAUUAUUUGUAUUAUUAAUUAUAUGUAAUUAUUGAAAUUAUUGAUUAUAUGUGAUUAUUGAGAUAAUACAGCCUUUUUUGUAAUGUAAUGCCUAAUUACAACAUUUAUCAAUUAUGCAUUUGCACCACCAACACUCCAUAUUACAAAUAAAUACAUUUUUCUAACCCAAA